This 314-nucleotide unclassified non-coding RNA is filed under the name plant metagenome. RNAcentral describes it as "partial contains 5.8S ribosomal RNA, internal transcribed spacer 2, and large subunit ribosomal RNA". The stretch from base 1 to 105 matches the Rfam family "5.8S ribosomal RNA", at positions 50 to 154 of the family's 154-position model. The record is from RNAcentral.
GAAAUGCGAUAAUUAAUGUGAAUUGCAGAAUUCAGUGAAUCAUCGAGUCUUUCAACGCAUAUUGCGCCCCCUGGUAUUCCGGGGGGCAUGCCUGUCCGAGCGUCAUUGCUGCCCUCAAGCACGGCUUGUGUGUUGGGCUUCCGUCCCUGGCAACGGGGACGGGCCCAAAAGGCAGUGGCGGCACCAUGUCUGGUCCUCGAGCGUAUGGGGCUUUGUCACCCGCUCCCGUAGGUCCAGCUGGCAGCUAGCCUCGCAACCAAUCUUUUUAACCAGGUUGACCUCGGAUCAGGUAGGGAUACCCGCUGAACUUAAGC